This 840-nucleotide ribosomal RNA is filed under the name uncultured bacterium. Its description in RNAcentral is "bacterial SSU rRNA". It matches the Rfam family "Bacterial small subunit ribosomal RNA", at positions 545 to 1386 of the family's 1533-position model. The record is from RNAcentral.
UNGGAAUUACUGGGCGUAAAGCGGGCGCAGACGGUUACUUAAGCAGGAUGUGAAAUCCCCGGGCUCAACCUGGGAACUGCGUUNUGAACUGGGUGACUAGAGUGUGUCAGAGGGAGGUAGAAUUCCACGUGUAGCAGUGAAAUGCGUAGAGAUGUGGAGGAAUACCGAUGGCGAAGGCAGCNUCCUGGGAUAACACUGACGUUCAUGCCCGAAAGCGUGGGUAGCAAACAGGAUUAGAUACCCUGGUAGUCCACGCCCUAAACGAUGUCGAUUAGCUGUUGGGCAGCAUGACUGCUUAGUAGCGAAGCUAACGCGUGAAAUCGACCGCCUGGGGAGUACGGUCGCAAGAUUAAAACUCAAAGGAAUUGACGGGGACCCGCACAAGCGGUGGAUGAUGUGGAUUAAUUCGAUGCAACGCGAAGAACCUUACCUGGUCUUGACAUGUACGGAACCCUCCAGAGACGGAGGGGUGCCUUCGGGAGCCGUAACACAGGUGCUGCAUGGCUGUCGUCAGCUCGUGUCGUGAGAUGUUGGGUUAAGUCCCGCAACGAGCGCAACCCUUGUCAUUAGUUGCCAUCAUUAAGUUGGGCACUCUAAUGAGACUGCCGGUGACAAGCCGGAGGAAGGUGGGGAUGACGUCAAGUCCUCAUGGCCCUUAUGACCAGGGCUUCACACGUCAUACAAUGGUCGGUACAGAGGGUAGCCAAGCCGCGAGGUGGAGCCAAUCUCACAAAACCGAUCGUAGUCCGGAUUGCACUCUGCAACUCGAGUGCAUGAAGUCGGAAUCGCUAGUAAUCGCAGGUCAGCAUACUGCGGUGAAUACGUUCCCGGGUCUUGUAC